CUCCCUUUUCUUCUACCCCUCCCACCGCGGAAGUCUGCUCCCGGGCGAAAUCGGAGACAAUUUCAAACUCCGAGAGGAGCAACCGAGCAAGCGAAAUAAACUGUACAACCACCAUGCACGUGCGACCAAAGUCUCUCGACCCUCCUCCAUUUCGAAUACUUCUCUCCUUAUUUCCGAAAUAUGCAUUGUUUUAACACUUCGUCUCGGUUCCAACAGAACGGAGAUACUCUUAACUGUGAACUUUGCAGACAAUCAAAACCUUUUUAAAAGCCAUCCCACCGUGACAACAAAGCGAUUAAGAUGUUUUCUAUUUCGUAAAUACCAUUUAAAAUUGCUAUAUUUUAUGCUCUGAGUUCUACAGUGUCUUAUUUGCACACUAUUUUGUGUCUGAUUUAAUCUAUAACCGAAAACAUAAUGUAUUAAGUGAAUACAUAUUUGCUCAGCUGAUAAGCUUUUUUAAUAUUUAUUCGGAGAAUUUUGCAUUGUAAAUAAACGGGACUACACAAAG
Molecule: long non-coding RNA, 508 nt
Filed under: Rattus norvegicus (Norway rat)
Lineage: Eukaryota; Metazoa; Chordata; Mammalia; Rodentia; Muridae
Description: long non-coding RNA NONRATT006350
Source: RNAcentral